AGAGUUUGAUCCUGGCUCAGAAUCAACGCUGGCGGCGUGCCUAACACAUGCAAGUCGAACGAGAAAGUGGAGCAAUCCAUGAGUAAAGUGGCGCACGGGUGAGUAACACGUGACUAACCUACCCAGGAGUGGGGGAUAACUGAGGGAAACCUUAGCUAAUACCGCAUAACACCUACGGGUCAAAGGAGCAAUUCGCUUCUGGAGGGGGUCGCGGCCGAUUAGUUAGUUGGCAGGGUAAUGGCCUACCAAGACGAUGAUCGGUAUCCGGCCUGAGAGGGCGCACGGACACACUGGAACUGAAACACGGUCCAGACUCCUACGGGAGGCAGCAGUGGGGAAUUUUGCGCAAUGGGGGAAACCCUGACGCAGCAACGCCGCGUGGAGGAUGAAGUCCUUCGGGACGUAAACUCCUUUCGAUCGGGACGAUUAUGACGGUACCGGAAGAAGAAGCCCCGGCUAACUUCGUGCCAGCAGCCGCGGUAAUACGAGGGGGGCGAGCGUUGUUCGGAAUUAUUGGGCGUAAAGGGUGCGUAGGCGGUUUGGUAAGUCUGAUGUGAAAUCUAUGGGCUCAACUCAUAGUCUGCAUCGGAAACUGCCGGGCUUGAGUGUGGGAGAGGUGAGUGGAAUUCCUGGUGUAGCGGUGAAAUGCGUAGAUAUCAGGAGGAACACCUGUGGCGAAAGCGGCUCACUGGACCAUAACUGACGCUGAUGCACGAAAGCUAGGGGAGCAAACAGGAUUAGAUACCCUGGUAGUCCUAGCCCUAAACGAUGACUGCUUGGUGUGACGGGUACCCAAUCCCGCCGUGCCGUAGCUAACGCGUUAAGCAGUCCGCCUGGGGAGUACGUCGCAAGCUGAAACUCAAGGAUUGACGGGGCCCGCACAGCGGUGGAGCAUGUGGCUUAAUUCGACGCAACGCGAAGAACCUUACCUGGGCUCGAAAUGC
This 944-nucleotide ribosomal RNA is filed under the name uncultured bacterium. RNAcentral describes it as "bacterial SSU rRNA". It matches the Rfam family "Bacterial small subunit ribosomal RNA", at positions 8 to 989 of the family's 1533-position model. The record is from RNAcentral.